This 797-nucleotide long non-coding RNA is filed under the name Vulpes vulpes (red fox). Its description in RNAcentral is "lncRNA (ENSVVUG00000007600.1)". The record is from RNAcentral. Lineage: Eukaryota; Metazoa; Chordata; Mammalia; Carnivora; Canidae.
UUUUUAAUGUAAGUGUGCCCCAUGCAGGGUGGCCCCAGUGGCUCAGUGGUUUGGCACCACCUUCAGCCCAGGGCCUGAUCCUGGAGACCCGGGAUCGAGUCCCACAUCGGGCUCCCUGCACGGAGCCUGCUUCUCCCUCUGCCUGUGUCUCUGCCUCUCUCUCUCUGUCUCUCAUAAAUAAAUAAAUAAAUUCUUUAAAAAAAAAAAAGUGUGCCCCAUGGAGUGUUUGCACAUAUUUGUAGUAUAAGAUUAGGUCUUGUUUUGCUUUCCGCAUUGGGUUUUGCCCACUGAUUUUCCUUUCUCUCUGCAUUGAUAUCGCUGCACAAUGGUUCUUCCUCUGCUUCUCUGCCAGGUGCCAGGACCUGCUUGCUCAUCUCUGUCCCUGAGGCCUCUUGGCCACCCGUGCUUCUAGGCCACCCAGCAGUACUGGGCUGGCGUCCACACCAGCUGUGAGUACAGCCACUGCCUCUGCAGCCCUCCUGCCAGGAGCAACGGGGGCACACUGGAUGAGCAAAUGGAGGCCUAAGAACAGUUGGAGAUUGGACAGGUCCGCAGAGUGACUUGUCUUAUCUGGAAAUAGGGCUUGAAGACAUGAAUCCAGCAUUCUAGAGGGCAUGGGCAGGUGGGUUGGGCUGCCCUGAUCACAGACUGUUGCCUAGAGGCUGUGAGAGAGGUCAGAGGUGCAUCUCAUGAAUGUCGUGGCUCACCUGUCAACCAGGCUUCACGUCUUAAGUUGGGCCAUGCUGUUUCUGCUCAGGUCAUUAGAGUUAUCAGAAGUCCCAGUGGGCAUCCCUCUG